CAGCCGCCGCGGUAAUACGAGGGGGGCAAGCGUUGUUCGGAAUUAUUGGGCGUAAAGGGCGCGUAGGCGGUUUGGCAAGUUUGGUGUGAAAUCUUCGGGCUCAACUCGAAGUCUGCAUCGAAAACUGCCGGGCUUGAGUAUGGGAGAGGUGUGUGGAAUUCCCGGUGUAGCGGUGAAAUGCGUAGAUAUCGGAAGGAACACCUGUGGCGAAAGCGGCUCACUGGACCAUAACUGACGCUGAUGCACGAAAGCUAGGGGAGCAAACAGGAUUAGAGACCCCUGUAGUCCCUGUCUCUUAUAA
This 301-nucleotide ribosomal RNA is filed under the name uncultured bacterium. Its description in RNAcentral is "partial 16S ribosomal RNA". It matches the Rfam family "Bacterial small subunit ribosomal RNA", at positions 509 to 809 of the family's 1533-position model. The record is from RNAcentral.